CGGAGACCCGCACAAGCGGUGGAUGAUGUGGAUUAAUUCGAUGCAACGCGAAAACCUUACCUACCCUUGACAUGUCUGGAACCUUGCUGAGAGGCGAGGGUGCCUUCGGGAGCCAGAACACAGGUGCUGCAUGGCUGUCGUCAGCUCGUGUCGUGAGAUGUUGGGUUAAGUCCCGCAACGAGCGCAACCCUUGUCAUUAGUUGCCAUCAUUUAGUUGGGCACUCUAAUGAGACUGCCGGUGACAAACCGGAGGAAGGUGGGGAUGACGUCAAGUCCUCAUGGCCCUUAUGGGUAGGGCUUCACACGUCAUACAAUGGUCGGUACAGAGGGUUGCCAAGCCGCGAGGUGGAGCCAAUCCCUUAAAGCCGAUCGUAGUCCGGAUCGUUCUCUGCAACUCGAGAGCAUGAAGUCGGAAUCGCUAGUAAUCGCAGGUCAGCAUACUGCGGUGAAUACGUUCCCGGGUCUU
This 466-nucleotide ribosomal RNA is filed under the name uncultured Thauera sp. RNAcentral's name for it is "bacterial SSU rRNA". It matches the Rfam family "Bacterial small subunit ribosomal RNA", at positions 914 to 1382 of the family's 1533-position model. The record is from RNAcentral. Lineage: Bacteria; Pseudomonadati; Pseudomonadota; Betaproteobacteria; Rhodocyclales; Zoogloeaceae.